GAUGAACGCUGGCGGCGUGCCUAAUACAUGCAAGUCGAGCGCACAAACGUGGUUCUUGCACCUAUUGCGUGAGCGGCGGACGGGUGAGUAACACGUGGGUAACCUGCCUUUGAGCGUGGGAUAACUUCGGGAAACCGAAGCUAAUACCGGAUAAUAACUUGAAACACAAGGUUCAACUGUGCAAGAGGCAUUUGCUUACCCUAAUGCGUAUCUCGGGGUGUAUUAGCUAGUUGGGAAGGUAAAGGCCUACCAAGGCGAUGAUUGGUAGCCGAACUGAGAGGUGGAUCGGCCACACUGGAACUGAGACACGGUCCAGACUCCUACGGGAGGCAGCAGUGGGGAAUAUUGGGCAAUGGGCGAAAGCCUGACGGAGCAACGCCGCGGGGGGGAGGAAGGUCUUCGGAUGGUAAAACCCGUUGAUUAGGGAGGAAGAGAGGUAGAAUAAAAAAUUCAUGUCUUGACGGUACCUACACAGAAAGCAACGGCUAACUACGUG
Molecule: ribosomal RNA, 496 nt
Filed under: uncultured bacterium
Lineage: Bacteria
Description: partial 16S ribosomal RNA
Rfam family: Bacterial small subunit ribosomal RNA
Source: RNAcentral